RNAcentral lists this small nuclear RNA (96 nucleotides) under Prolemur simus (greater bamboo lemur). Lineage: Eukaryota; Metazoa; Chordata; Mammalia; Primates; Lemuridae. The record is from RNAcentral.
GUGCUCGCUUCGGCCACACAUAUACUAAAAUUGGAACAAUACAGAGAAGAUUAGCACGGCCCCUGCGCAAGGAUGACAUGAUUAAAAUAAUUUUUU